UCACUAAGGUUCGCUUCAGCGCGAUUAAAAAGGGAAUGGAGUGGAAGUCUCCAACUGUCCCGCAGCUGUAAGUUCCAUUAUGCUCGCAAGCAAGAAGCCACUGUCGCAUUGACGGGAAGGUGUUUGCGGGUGGAACAGAGUCAGAAGACCUGCCUUAUGUUUA
Molecule: non-coding RNA, 163 nt
Filed under: uncultured Prevotella sp.
Lineage: Bacteria; Pseudomonadati; Bacteroidota; Bacteroidia; Bacteroidales; Prevotellaceae
Source: RNAcentral